GGAGGGUGCAAGCGUUAUCCGGAUUUAUUGGGUUUAAAGGGUCCGUAGGCGGAUCUGUAAGUCAGUGGUGAAAUCUCACAGCUUAACUGUGAAACUGCCAUUGAUACUGCAGGUCUUGAGUAAAGUAGAAGUGGCUGGAAUAAGUAGUGUAGCGGUGAAAUGCAUAGAUAUUACUUAGAACACCAAUUGCGAAGGCAGGUCACUAUGUUUUAACUGACGCUGAUGGACGAAAGCGUGGGGAGCGAACAGGAUUAGAUACCCUGGUAGUCCACGCCGUAAACGAUGCUAACUCGUUUUUGGGGUUUCGGCUUCAGAGACUAAGCGAAAGUGAUAAGUUAGCCACCUGGGGAGUACGUUCGCAAGAAUGAA
Molecule: ribosomal RNA, 369 nt
Filed under: uncultured bacterium
Lineage: Bacteria
Description: bacterial SSU rRNA
Rfam family: Bacterial small subunit ribosomal RNA
Source: RNAcentral